UAUGUACAAACUUAUACAGUCGUGCAGUAUGAAGGAAAUGAAGACAUACAAUAUAAAUAUUUCCUUGUGACAUAAACAACGUUUGCAAAAUACAAAGUACAUACUUGGUGUUUUCAGACGAACAAUAUAAAUAGAGUUAAGAUAAGCACUGGGUCACUCUAUUGUAUGACCUUAAAAAAAGGUUAACUGCAUGAAGAUGCAUAUAAAAUACACCUUUAACUCAUCAAUUUGAUUUUAUCUAUUAGUACUAUAAAUUAACAGU
Molecule: long non-coding RNA, 262 nt
Filed under: Mytilus galloprovincialis (Mediterranean mussel)
Lineage: Eukaryota; Metazoa; Mollusca; Bivalvia; Mytilida; Mytilidae
Source: RNAcentral